Cryptomeria japonica (Japanese cedar) is the source of this 1600-nucleotide RNA transcript. RefSeq lists it as uncharacterized. Lineage: Eukaryota; Viridiplantae; Streptophyta; Pinopsida; Cupressales; Cupressaceae. The record is from RefSeq and is a predicted model, not a curated record. The transcript is spliced from 4 exons.
UCACGAUGGGAAUGCUUUCGGUUGCAGGGGUUUUCUUUUGGCUUCUGUAGAUCCACCCGUUGAAAACACAUGCUGCCAUUAAAAACACGCUCCAUAGAUAUUGCAGCUGAAAAAAGCAUGCUACUGGUUCGAAUCCACCCGUUGAAAAUAAAACAUGCUACCGUUAAUAAACACGCUCCAUAGAUAGAUAUUGCAGCUGAAAAAAGCAUGCUACCGUUAACAAAAACACGCUCCUAUUCCUUAACCUAUUAUAUAUAUGGCCAUUGAUUUAGAAGAAUAGCUCAUCCGCAAUGUUCAGUGUUUCCCUGCGUACAUUGAUUCGGAAUGUACUAGCUAUGCGUACUCCUCUGGUUAUUGCUGCUUCAAGGCCAUGGUAAGCAUAGAGAUGAAAGAUUUUAGGGAACUGAAUUUAUGGGUUCGUGGUAUAGGGCUCGAUGCCCUUUCCUGCAAGGGGUGAAUUUACCAUUUGGUGUGCCCUAUCUGCGGAGGAAUGUUGUCCGAGGGAGUGAUGUCUCCAACGCCUCAGAGGUCAUCCGCAACACCAAUCAUGUGCGGAGGAAUGUUCAAAAUUUGCAGAGGUAGAAGAAUGCUCAGCCAAUAUAAGGGAAGACAACAUGUAAGCAUGUUGCACGCAUUGCUGGAGAUGGUGUAGCUCCAGGAAAACAACAAUGAUGUGGAUAACAUAAAGCAGGCAUUUAGCAAAUGGCUACUUAUGCUAAAAGUGGAGUAAUUUUAAAAUAAAUUAAAAUUUGUUGUGAACUUGAAUUUAUAUAUAUUUAAUAGUAAUGUUAAUAUACAAAUUUUUUGUUUCAUUCACAUUGAUGUUAACAGUUUGUUUGUUGAAGUCAGAUUCACUUCAGUGACUUAAUGAAUGUCUAGAAAGUUCUGUUUACAUCAUAUUCUGUUUUGUUGGUUUCUUUGUCCAUCAUUCUAUGUUUUUUUUUUUUUUUCUUAGCUUUCAUUCUGUUUUUGUUUGGCAUGGCCAUGUCGCCUCUGUUUUUAUUGUCUGUAAGUUUUACUCUAAUAUGUUUGGUAUGUGUUUUUCAUUUGUAUUUUUAUGUGUAGAUUGUUUUCAAAAAGGCUUUUUUGGUAUUUUGCAUUUGUCUUUUUUCGUGGGUGGUGAUUUUUCAGGCAGUAGUGAUGAUGAUGAUGAGGAGGAGGAGGAGGAGGAGGAGGAGAAAUGAAGCAGAACUACAUAUCACAAGCACGAGGAAAUACAAUAGUAUUGACGAUAAGGAGGAUGGUGAGGAAAUAGCCAAACAGCUAGUGAAAGCUAUAAAAUUUUGUUUAUCUGAAGUCCCAAAUAAAUAGAGAGUAGCCACAUACUGAUCAAGUGUGCAACAUUAGUUAAUGUUCGGAUUUGGUUCAAGCAGUCGAUGUGGCAAAAGCAGUUGGCAUUCGUUGAUUACUAUAAUGAUAAAUACCUUUGCCAUGUCUGUAGAAUGAUGUCUAGAGUGCAAAGUGAUGCCUAGAGUUUCUCAAUUGUUAUUGAAGUCAAUGCAGAACAAAUUUUAAUUUUACUAUUGCACUUUUGCAUCAUUUUCUGAAAUCGUUCAACUUAUUUGUAAAUGGAUAUGUAAAUAGAUUUGUUGUUUAAUAA